UAGAGUUUGAUCCUGGCUCAGGACGAACGCUGGCGGCGUGCUUAACACAUGCAAGUCGAGCGGUAAGGCCCUUUCGGGGGUACACGAGCGGCGAACGGGUGAGUAACACGUGGGUGACCUGCCCUUAGCUCUGGGAUAAGCCUGGGAAACUGGGUCUAAUACCGGAUAUGACCUCAUGACGCAUGUUGUGGGGUGGAAAGCCUUGUGCGGCUAGGGAUGGGCCCGCGGCCUAUCAGCUUGUUGGUGGGGUGAUGGCCUACCAAGGCGAGUCGGGCCCAAUCGCC
RNAcentral lists this ribosomal RNA (284 nucleotides) under uncultured bacterium. RNAcentral describes it as "partial 16S ribosomal RNA". It matches the Rfam family "Bacterial small subunit ribosomal RNA", at positions 1 to 292 of the family's 1533-position model. The record is from RNAcentral.